Molecule: ribosomal RNA, 433 nt
Filed under: uncultured Desulfobulbus sp.
Lineage: Bacteria; Pseudomonadati; Thermodesulfobacteriota; Desulfobulbia; Desulfobulbales; Desulfobulbaceae
Description: bacterial SSU rRNA
Rfam family: Bacterial small subunit ribosomal RNA
Source: RNAcentral
GCAACGCGAAGAACCUUACCCUGGUCUUGACAUCCCGGAGACCCUUAGGAAACUAGGGGGUGCUUCCAUCUGGAAGAAUCUGGAGACAGGUGCUGCAUGGCUGUCGUCAGCUCGUGUCGUGAGAUGUUGGGUUAAGUCCCGCAACGAGCGCAACCCUUGCCUUUAGUUGCCAGCAGUUCGGCUGGGCACUCUAAAGGGACUGCCGGUGUUAAACCGGAGGAAGGUGGGGAUGACAUCAAGUCCUCAUGGCCUUUAUGACCAGGGCUACACACGUACUACAAUGGCCGAUACAAAGGGCAGCGACACUGCGAGGUGAAGCCAAUCCCGUAAAAUCGGUCUCAGUCCGGAUUGGAGUCUGCAACUCGACUCCAUGAAGUUGGAAUCGCUAGUAAUCGUGGAUCAGCAUGCCACGGUGAAUACGUUCCCGGGCCUU